This is a long non-coding RNA of Penaeus monodon (black tiger shrimp), 547 nucleotides long. RefSeq lists it as uncharacterized. The transcript is spliced from 2 exons. NCBI's taxonomy places the organism in Eukaryota, Metazoa, Arthropoda, Malacostraca, Decapoda, Penaeidae. The record is from RefSeq and is a predicted model, not a curated record.
GGUGAGUGGCGAUACUCUUGGCUUGACGAGCAAACCGCUCACCUGGGAGGGCUACCUUCGACGUCAUACCUCGUAAAGAAAAACCUCGGGACUUUGAUCGCUGCUCGACAUUGCCACCGUCGCCCGCAGCACCGACAGGAAGGCCCGGGUUUUUUCGCCCGAGCUUGGCGAACGCAGAAAAACGGCGACAGAUCACAGAGCGGGGAUUCCCCUGUCUACCCCCGCAAGGAGUCACACGCCCCAAAGGCAUAAGUGGGUGGACAAGACACAGAUAGAAAAAACGGAACGUAAGGCACACGAAAACCUUCCUCAAAUGGUGGUCGCGUGAGAAUAUUUACGGUGUUUGAAUUUUUAUUUGUGCUGAGAUUUGUUUAGUUCGUGUGAAUGAAGGUUAUAGUGUAUUAAUGGUGUUCGGGGUGUAUGCGUGUUGGGUGCUCCUCGGGUGUUAUUAGUGUGUCACUAUCGUAGUAUUGCAUUUUUGUCAAUUUGCUGGUUUCUAAAGUAUCGAGUUUUAUAUGUUACAUAUGAUUAAUAAAUUAAAAUUAUC